UACCAGCUGGGAUAAUUGUUGUGGGUUUAAUGCCAUUGAAUUCUGGUGCAACUGAGGAGAUGAAGCCAAUUGCUGCUGCAAAAGAACCUGUGACUGCCUCUGGUGCUGUUGAAGNNNAUUGGUAAGGCAGGACCAGAAAUUGCUGGCAUUUGCUUCAACCAUUGCUGCUGUGACAAAGAGUUCUGCAUCAUAGCUGGUUGUGCAUUCUGAGCCAGACUAGAUAGCUGAGGGCUCA
This 235-nucleotide unclassified non-coding RNA is filed under the name Hevea brasiliensis (rubber tree). The record is from RNAcentral. Lineage: Eukaryota; Viridiplantae; Streptophyta; Magnoliopsida; Malpighiales; Euphorbiaceae.